UUCAGUUUGAUGUUCUCGACCUCGCGUGUUGUACAUAGGUAAAGGUACGACCAUGUUCACGAUUUCCCUGCGAGUUCCUGAUUCAGCAUUGCAUACGGUGCAUAUUGGCUUAAAAUCUGUGUCAGGAUUGAUCCAGUUCAUGAGUACCUCUCAGGUUUUAUAGCCAUUCCCGAAUCCAAUUUUAGUGCUUCAAUGACAUUCUCUGCAAAAGUAAGAAUUUUUCUAUUGCUUAUUAGCUGUCCCCUUGAAUUGCAGUUCUCUCCGAGGCAAUGCAAAAUAUUCAUUCUUACAAUGAUGCCCUAGCGGAGGAAAUGUACUGCCAGAUUGCUGUCUGUUUGACAGCUCCAUAACACAAACGCAUUGCGUACGCCGAACGAGGGAGUAUUGUUCGUCAGUCACGUCGGACGGAAAACGACAAUCAGCAUUUCCUUCAUGGAUCUUUAGAGGUAACCAGGAUAUUGUUUUGCUAAAAGUUUAUUUUGAUACUUGUGAUUCAAUUCCAGUUAAAAUGGCCUUCCAUUGUUCAAAUCUUGCGUAUCAGCACGUGGCUGAUGUCCUGUGAUACAUCAGGCCAGGAAGAAUCCUCAUUUGGUAAUAUUUUGGGAGAUGUUAGUUUUCAUUUAGUGUGACAUUAAUUAAUUGCGACGUGGUUAAUUGUAGUUAAUUUAGUGAUAUUUAAAAUCAAGCUAAAAAGAGGAUUUUUAUAUCAUCACAGAUUUGCUUUCCCAUAAUGUCGUCUUAGACUGCAUGCUCCGGCUGAAGGCUGAACGUUUCUUCACAUGUAGAAAUACUUCAGAAUAGUAAAAGUAAUUAUGUUAUCUAACUUUUGAAUCCCAAGGUAACACAUUUAGUUAUUUGGCGACUUUGUAAACGACAGUCGUUGGGAGGGGUUGAAAUUUGUAUAUAUCUCUCCCAAAUUUCGCCAGUUUUUCGUUCCUAGCUUUUUGAGAGGGGAGGGGGGAAGAAACUGUCUAGACUUGUCAAGGGGUUAACACACACCUCCUCGACGCACUACUGGUUGCCAGUUUUUAUUACCCGCUCUUUAACCAUUUGUUCUAAAAAGUCGAGACGUAAAAUUGUGUCAUCGGGAUCAGGUGGAGGACUGGAGGAGUAUUUGUUCGUGAGUGACUAGCCGUUUGCAUAUGAGACGGUGGACGGAAAUGUUUUAUUGCUUGAUGACAGUGCUUUCAUCAAUUAAACUUAAGACGCAUUUUGUGACACACCAUUUGGUUAAGCUGAAUCGAAAGUGAACAAUUCUAAAGCAAGUAAAUGGUGAGUUCUGACAUCGGGAAAUUCAUUUUCUAAUCUACUUUAACUUUUUCGAAGCAUGUCGAAGAUUUAUGGUGAUUUUACUUUUAUUAAAUGGCAACUAGCAUAAAUUUCUACUUGCCAAUUUCAUCUUAUGUGACUUGCAAUUGUUGUACAUUUUCAUAAAAUGUGACUUAGUUUAUAUUUUAUAGAUACUUUAUUUUAUUGUUAACAGGCUGGUGUAGUCUGAGCAUCAUUGCAAUCUAUGAAUUAGUUGCGGGCAGCUGGCAAACGGUGUUCUGCUCUCGCUGUCUUGCUGCACUAGUUAUGUUUCGUGAAAUCCAGAAACACUUCAGAACAAUUAGGCUAUUAACAGUAACGCUAUUACAUAGUUCGAUGAUGACCAGCUCUAUUAAUGGCAAUUGUUGGUUCAGUUCUGAAAUUGAAUUUAGAAUUGAAGAAUAAGCAAGAGUAGGAAGGGUUUCUUGGUUAUUUCAAAUAUUUCUGUAUCUAAAAAAAACUUACCGAGUUGUUUAGCUGUGAAUGAAUAAUUGAAAUAAUCUGAUAUAAAUCUCAAAAUGAACAUCUGGACAUUGUAAUUGUUCUGCCGGUGGUUACGAUGCUUUGCAAUUAAAUAUCGCAUGUUACAUAAUUUGAAUACAUUAAAUGAAAAGUAACUAACAUUAAUGCAAUAUAUCAUAACGGUAUUCAAUAUAUUCUCUUUCCCUAAAUCAUAUCUGCUUGAUAAUAAAUAUAAUAGUUGUUAACAAUACAACAAUAUUUUGCCACCGAA
This is a long non-coding RNA of Daphnia pulex (common water flea), 2041 nucleotides long. RefSeq lists it as uncharacterized. NCBI's taxonomy places the organism in Eukaryota, Metazoa, Arthropoda, Branchiopoda, Diplostraca, Daphniidae. The transcript is spliced from 3 exons. The record is from RefSeq and is a predicted model, not a curated record.